Molecule: long non-coding RNA, 761 nt
Filed under: Pan troglodytes (chimpanzee)
Lineage: Eukaryota; Metazoa; Chordata; Mammalia; Primates; Hominidae
Description: long non-coding RNA NONPTRT008015
Source: RNAcentral
GAGAAUUGGGCAAGGAGAGACCCAUAAAAUACCUAAGACGAAAGUUACUAGGAUAGCCAAGGGCUUGUCUUCCGGGUGGCGCCGAGGCCAGGAAACUGUCCUCUCUAACCUAUUUCCCCAGAGGAGUCUAAAUUGGUCGUUCAACUACCAGCAAGGGCUAAAGAGAGGCUGGAGCCCCCAGGACAGCCAGAACGCUGACACUGCAAAGGGCCUCUGUCCUUACUGGGGAAGCCCAGUCCUGCUCAGCUGUCUUCUUCAGCAACAAACAGAAGUCCAGAAAGAGAAACAGUUGUGGAGGAAGCUGUUGUGAUGAUAAUUUACUGAGCACCUACUAUGUGCCAGGCACGCCAGCCUUACCAGACAAGAUCCUUGGGCUCAUGGAAUUCACUUUCUCGUGGGACAGACAAACAAUAACACGUAGAAACAUAUCAGCUGUUGGCAGUAACCGAGGGACCGUGGCCAGGCGCUGAAGUGAAUUCGGGUCCAAGGAGCCUGCUGGGACCCAGGAAAACGAGAGAAGGAACAGAAAUUGUGGUGGAGGCAAAUUCAAGGUCAGAAGAUUGGGGAGGAGGUGCUUAGAGAGGUCUGGAGAGAUGCUGGGACCCAGAACUGGGGCCUCCGUGAGAUCAGCAGGCUGCAGCUAAACUGUGGUAUCCGGACCAUGCGGCUGAUGCCCUGGGAGGGAGGCCACUUGCUUAAGUCCUCCAGGAGGGCGAUGGAGGAGCCGGCAUUCAAACCAGGCUCAUGGAUGCCAAGGUAUA